RNAcentral lists this ribosomal RNA (492 nucleotides) under uncultured bacterium. Its description in RNAcentral is "partial 16S ribosomal RNA". It matches the Rfam family "Bacterial small subunit ribosomal RNA", at positions 29 to 507 of the family's 1533-position model. The record is from RNAcentral.
AGUGAACGCUGGCGGUAGGCCUAACACAUGCAAGUCGAACGGCAGCACAGUAAGAGCUUGCUCUUACGGGUGGCGAGUGGCGGACGGGUGAGGAAUACAUCGGAAUCUACUUUUUCGUGGGGAAUAACGUAGGGAAACUUACGCUAAUACCGCAUACGACCUACGGGUGAAAGCAGGGGAUCUUCGGACCUUGCGCGAUUGAAUGAGCCGAUGUCGGAUUAGCUAGUUGGCGGGGUAAAGGCCCACCAAGGCGACGAUCCGCAGCUGGUCUGAGAGGAUGAGCAGCCACACUGGAACUGAGACACGGUCCAGACUCCUACGGGAGGCAGCAGUGGGGAAUAUUGGACAAUGGGCGCAAGCCUGAUCCAGCCAUACCGCGUGGGUGAAGAAGGCCUUCGGGUUGUAAAGCCCUUUUGUUGGGAAAGAAAAGCAGCAGGUUAAUACCCCGCUGUUCUGACGGUACCCAAAGAAUAAGCACCGGCUAACUUCGUG